This 187-nucleotide non-coding RNA is filed under the name Saccharibacillus sacchari. RNAcentral's name for it is "Lysine sequence". It matches the Rfam family "Lysine riboswitch aptamer". Rfam says of the family: Riboswitches are metabolite binding domains within certain messenger RNAs that serve as precision sensors for their corresponding targets. Allosteric rearrangement of mRNA structure is mediated by ligand binding, and this results in modulation of gene expression. RNAcentral also lists the same sequence under 1 other name. Lineage: Bacteria; Bacillati; Bacillota; Bacilli; Caryophanales; Paenibacillaceae. The record is from RNAcentral.
UGAUGAGGUAGAGGUUGCGGUGGCGAUCAGUACACCGGAGGAGGCGCAGCAGAGCGCCGAUGAUCCCGGCCGGAAAGGCGCACCCGCCGAAGCACGGCGUUCUCUGAACUGAACCCCGUGCUGGGACCGUCUCCGAAAGGAACGGAACUGUCACCUGCCGUAAGGCGGGUGUUGAGCUAUCUUCACG